CACUGCCCGGUAGCUAAAUGCGGAAGAGAUAAGUGCUGAAAGCAUCUAAGCACGAAACUUGCCCCGAGAUGAGUUCUCCCUGACCCUUUAAGGGUCCUGAAGGAACGUUGAAGACGACGACGUUGAUAGGCCGGGUGUGUAAGCGCAGCGAUGCGUUGAGCUAACCGGUACUAAUGAACCGUGAGGCUUAACCUUACAACGCCGAAG
This 207-nucleotide ribosomal RNA is filed under the name Escherichia coli. Its description in RNAcentral is "partial 23S ribosomal RNA". It matches the Rfam family "Bacterial large subunit ribosomal RNA", at positions 2736 to 2925 of the family's 2925-position model. The record is from RNAcentral. Lineage: Bacteria; Pseudomonadati; Pseudomonadota; Gammaproteobacteria; Enterobacterales; Enterobacteriaceae.